GAUGUUUUCUCUAAUUUAAGUAUAGAUUUAUUUAAUCACAAAUUUUAUUUACGUUUUAUUAUUCAUAUAUGUGUAUCAUUUAGCGGUAGAUAUAUGUUUGCACAAUAUUUUAUUACAACUCUUGACAUAAAAAAUUACCAUAUUAUUAUAUAGUUCUUAGUUUAAUUUUUUAAUAUAUAGCCUUCUUAUAUAAAUUAUUGGUUGAAUUUGCAAUAUCUUUAUAGUAUAAAAUACGGCAGAUAUAUUUCUUUCCUAAAAUGUACUUUAUAAUUAAGCAACACUGUUACGCCGUGCUCAAUAGCAAUACUGACGUAUUUUUACUAAGUUUCGUUGAAUAAGCAUUUUCUGGACCCCGUUAUUUGACAUGGUUGCUUAAUUGCAUCUUACAUUUUUCUGUGGUUAAUCUUUAUUAACUUACCACAAUUGAAAAAAGGAAUAAAUAUGUAUCUUAAUUUUUCUGGUAUUUGCCAAUAAUAGCCGCUCCUGUAAGAAUAUAUAUUAAAAUACACUGAUUUUAUUUUGAAAAAAUAUUAAAGUUUUACAUAUAACCAAUAUUUUUUGGACAACUUUUUCAUAAUUUAAAAGAAAAUAGCAAUAUGCAACCAUUUUCCGGUUAAAAGUCGGCCAUCUUGGCUCCACAUACUGUUUCAGCACUGUGACUAUGGACGAUUGCUUUUUAAUGUUGCAGACUGCAUUUGGGUUGUUUUGAAAAUUUAAUGACGCAACGGCCAAAAAAAAAAAA
Molecule: long non-coding RNA, 742 nt
Organism: Bactrocera oleae (olive fruit fly)
Lineage: Eukaryota; Metazoa; Arthropoda; Insecta; Diptera; Tephritidae
Source: RefSeq, a predicted model, not a curated record